AGUGAACGCUGGCGGUAGGCCUAACACAUGCAAGUCGAACGGCAGCACAGUAAGAGCUUGCUCUUACGGGUGGCGAGUGGCGGACGGGUGAGGAAUACAUCGGAAUCUACUUUUUCGUGGGGGGUAACGUAGGGAAACUUACGCUAAUACCGCAUACGACCUACGGGUGAAAGCAGGGGAUCUUCGGACCUUGCGCGAUUGAAUGAGCCGAUGUCGGAUUAGCUAGUUGGCGGGGUAAAGGCCCACCAAGGCGACGAUCCGUAGCUGGUCUGAGAGGAUGAUCAGCCACACUGGAACUGAGACACGGUCCAGACUCCUACGGGAGGCAGCAGUGGGGAAUAUUGGACAAUGGGCGUAAGCCUGAUCCAGCCAUACCGCGUGGGUGAAGAAGGCCUUCGGGUUGUAAAGCCCUUUUGUUGGGAAAGAAAAGCAGCAGGUUAAUACCCCGCUGUUCUGACGGUACCCAAAGAAUAAGCACCGGCUAACUUCGUG
This 492-nucleotide ribosomal RNA is filed under the name uncultured bacterium. RNAcentral describes it as "partial 16S ribosomal RNA". It matches the Rfam family "Bacterial small subunit ribosomal RNA", at positions 29 to 507 of the family's 1533-position model. The record is from RNAcentral.